UAUUGAUGAUGUGGACAGUCUCUAAGAAGUUCCUUAAAGUGCUCCCAAGCAUGGUAUAGAUUCUCACCUGGCUUCUGUUUGAAUCACACAAUCUCACUUUGGAGUCU
Capsicum annuum is the source of this 107-nucleotide non-coding RNA. NCBI's taxonomy places the organism in Eukaryota, Viridiplantae, Streptophyta, Magnoliopsida, Solanales, Solanaceae. The record is from Rfam.